CUUUGUCACUGGGAUCCCUAAAAAUCCACACAGGACACGAGUCUUCGAACCUGCUGACUGGUUGCAGGAUCCCUCUAGUCUUGGUAUAAUUCAAGAGAGCUAGGCCUGAGAUCCGCAAGUGCCUUUGUAAAGAAAUCCCACUGUAGGCAGAAGGAGAAGGACUGCAGCGCAAUAGGUAGAGAGGAAGAUAUCUGCUUGGAAGGAGAUCUGCAGCCUGGUCGGGUGGAAGAGCUCCA
Non-coding RNA from Pelobates cultripes (western spadefoot toad), 236 nucleotides. The record is from the annotation of a GenBank genome assembly. Lineage: Eukaryota; Metazoa; Chordata; Amphibia; Anura; Pelobatidae.